UUUAACCAUCGAAAUCACCAAAACCUUUCUCCAGCUUAUCUAUUUUCCGCUCUUUUUCACUCUCGUUGUGCACUUCGCUAGAGCAUCGACCAUAUACCGACGCUCAACCCAUCUCGCUGCUGUUCUCUUUCAUCUUCUCACCAUUAAAUGCGUGCUUCUUCUUGAUCUGUUCAAUCCUGACACUGCUGGCGUUUGAUGCUGCUGCACAUCGUUGGCUUCCCUUGCAAUUGUCGACGGUGGCCGAAAGUGCCGCCACGCUUCCCCUCUUGUUUUCUUAACUUGUUUAGGGUUGAAUUGAAUUGGGUUUAAGAGGAUGAUGGAAAUAAUGGCGGAUUAGAGUAGCAAACAUACAUGAUACAUCGAGAAGCAUGCCUAUACAUGGAUAAUAGAAUUGAAGAAUAAUGAAAGAAUGACCUUUAUAUUGAUUUAGGUUUAUUUAAGGAGAGAUAUAUAUAUUAUGAUUUUAUGAUUUAAUUUUCAGAUUAACUAUUUAUAUUUUGGAUGCAAUAGUAUGUUUUCGAUUGAGUAUACUCUUUGGCUCAUUUUUUGCAAUGGCCGUUGAGUAUUUCUACUCAUUUAUAUCAAUAAUAUCAUUUUAUUUCCUCUUCAA
Beta vulgaris subsp. vulgaris (sugar beet) is the source of this 610-nucleotide long non-coding RNA. RefSeq lists it as uncharacterized. NCBI's taxonomy places the organism in Eukaryota, Viridiplantae, Streptophyta, Magnoliopsida, Caryophyllales, Amaranthaceae. The transcript has 2 exons. The record is from RefSeq and is a predicted model, not a curated record.